GCAUGGUCAGGAUGUGGACUUACAGAAGCAGAAUGAUACCACCACCACCAAAAUAGGACUUUAUCAUCUUAAUAAACCAGAACAGACCAGACAAUGCAAAAACAUGACAAGACAAAAGUGACAAUUUGACAAGAAUUUCU
This is a long non-coding RNA of Etheostoma spectabile (orangethroat darter), 140 nucleotides long. RefSeq lists it as uncharacterized. NCBI's taxonomy places the organism in Eukaryota, Metazoa, Chordata, Actinopteri, Perciformes, Percidae. The transcript is spliced from 3 exons. The record is from RefSeq and is a predicted model, not a curated record.